CAUGGUUGCUGGACGUCCUCCUCCGGAAAAGACAUCCAUCUCCCUCCCUACAGCGAUGCUCCAUGGGCCUCGUCGUCAUUCCCGAGGCGCCCAAAAGUUCCAUCUGCAUGCAGCCGCGGUGCUGACCGGCGAGGCGGCGACGCUGACGGGGGCGAAGUUUGCUCGUACCGUAGGGCAUGGCUUCUGGGCUGUUUUUCGGAUCGUUUCCCUCGAGUUAACAGCAGAAGCCGACGCAAAUCAAGAUUUGAAAUUUGGAUACGCGAUAUUUUUAUGGUCCCAACAAAAAGAAAAAAAAACACACCGAAAUCCUAAAGAUCCAGCCGAAAUUCAGAGAACCCCGUACGGCUGUAGCCCAGGCCCAGCCCAGCAUCGUCCACGGGUUGGUUGGUAUCCUUUCCUCUCGUCUCCACGAGACCAACGCCGGGGCGGAGUCACGUUUUUUUUUUUUGUUUGUUGUCCCGCGCGCGGCGCCUGCUGGGUCUCCCUACAUCACAGUCAGUCACAGACGACAGCUGCAAAAAAUGACCGCACAUCAGAAUCGAAACCAACCCAUCAUAUCCCGCAGCUGUAUCCCAGCGACCUGGUCGCUGCCCACACAUGCCACAUCGCAAGUGCUGCAUGAAUGCCAUGCAGCAACGACGCACAAGCGCGCAGAUCGAGACAUGCAUCGCCGCCGCCGCCGCCGGCUGGCACGGGGCCGUUGGGCUUUUUAUCACCCAGUCACAUUCACGGCAGCGAGCGAACUGCAACAUUCUGGCUCUGCCAGCCGGUCCAGCUGCUCUACCGCACGGUUCGCACCGCGCGCGUACUGGAUCCAUUAGCCGCGCGCGCGCGCAUCUCUCGUGAUAUCUCUCUCUCUCUCUCUCCCUCUCUCGCCCGAGAGAUCCUCCUCGUCGGGUCCUACUCCUACCUCAUCAGUCCUCCGGUCCAUCUGCCCUCCUCCGGCACAAGGACGACGAUGCAGGUCACGCCGGCGGCGACCCUGCGGCCGGCGGCGGCGCACGCGUUGCGGCUGUCUACAGAUCACUGCAGGGAAGGGCCAAAGAUUAGGGUUCGGUUCGGAUCGAGGAAACUAUCGUGGACAGAAACACUUGAUGAUGCCACUAGUCUGACGAGAGCCACCGGAAGGCAACGCAGGCAUUCCUCAAUCCUCAAAGUGAGCUGCUGGGCAGCUGCUCAUCACCAACACAAUUCUAAUCCCCAGCACUUUAAGGCGACUGGCAUACGAAUCGCAAAGACGCUGCAUGCCUUCUAUCAGUUCUGCCGACCACACACAAUAUUUGGAACCAUAAUAGGCAUUACUUCGGUGUCUCUCCUGCCAGUGAAGAGCCUGGACGAUUUUACGUUGAUAGCUAUAUGGGGAUUUCUCGAGGCUUUGGUCGCCGCAUUAUGUAUGAACGUUUAUGUAGUAGGGCUGAACCAGAUAUUUGACAUUGAGAUUGACAAGGUCAAUAAGCCAACCCUCCCGUUGGCGUCCGGAGAGUUUUCGGUGCCAACUGCAGUAGUAUUAGUAGUGGCAUUCUUGGUCAUGAGCAUUAGCAUCGGAAUAAGAUCGAAGUCUGCUCCAUUGAUGUGUGCUUUGCUUGUUAGCUUCCUUCUUGGAAGCGCAUACUCCAUUGAUGUUCCAUUACUCCGGUGGAAGCGACAUGCUUUUCUAGCUGCAUUCUGUAUAAUCUUUGUGAGGGCUGUAGUGGUCCAGUUAGCUUUCUUUGCACACAUGCAGUGGUUGAUGGUGUUGUUUGCAGCAACACGUUCUGAAGAGGCCCUUGGCACCUACAAGAUCGGUGGUCUUUGCAACAUUUUUCAUGUGUUGCUUCGCUGCAGUAAUAGCGCUAUUCAAGGAUAUUCCUGAUGUCGAUGGAGAUAGAGAUUUCGGCAUUCAGUCCAUGACUGUACGAUUAGGCCAACAGAGAGUGCAUAGGCUCUGCAUUAACAUUCUCAUGACAGCAUACGCAGCUGCAAUUUUGGUAGGCGCAUCAUCUACAAACCUGUAUCAGAAGAUUGUCAUUGUGUCUGGUCAUGUCUUGCUUGCCUCCACACUCUGGCAAAGAGCACAACAAUUUGACAUUGAGAAUAAGGAUUGUAUCACACAAUUUUAUAUGUUCAUUUGGAAGUUAUUCUACGCUGAGUAUUUUCUUAUACCAUUUGUGUAGUAAAGAAUCAUGCGAAGAACAGCACCCGUGCUAUAGACAUGUGAAGGUUUAUUGCUAAUGUUACUCUACCGAAUGGUCUGAAUGCCUAUGCGUCAUUUGUAUGUAAUAUGACUAUUUGUUGUAUCAGGGUAACAACUGGAGCAAAUGUACCGUAUAUAUUAAGCAUUAAUUUAACUUUAUCAGUUAGUUGUGGGAAUA
Zea mays is the source of this 2351-nucleotide RNA transcript. It is a transcript of the gene named homogentisate geranylgeranyltransferase, chloroplastic, with no coding region annotated. Lineage: Eukaryota; Viridiplantae; Streptophyta; Magnoliopsida; Poales; Poaceae. The record is from RefSeq and is a predicted model, not a curated record. The transcript is spliced from 13 exons.